This 274-nucleotide ribosomal RNA is filed under the name uncultured bacterium. Its description in RNAcentral is "partial 16S ribosomal RNA". It matches the Rfam family "Bacterial small subunit ribosomal RNA", at positions 523 to 796 of the family's 1533-position model. The record is from RNAcentral.
AUACGGAGGGUCCAAGCGUUAUCCGGAUUUAUUGGGUUUAAAGGGUGUGUAGGCGGAAAUAUCAGUCAGUGGUGAAAUCCUGCAGCUUAACUGCAGAACUGCCGCUGAUACUUUAUUUCUAGAGUAUAGUUGAAGUGGGCGGAAUGUGUCAUGUAGCGGUGAAAUGCAUAGAUAUGACACAGAACACCGAUUGCGAAGGCAGCUCACUAAACUAUUACUGACGCUGAGGCACGAAAGCGUGGGUAGCGAACAGGAUUAGAUACCCCGGUAGUCC